RNAcentral lists this ribosomal RNA (456 nucleotides) under uncultured Desulfocapsa sp. Its description in RNAcentral is "bacterial SSU rRNA". It matches the Rfam family "Bacterial small subunit ribosomal RNA", at positions 923 to 1382 of the family's 1533-position model. The record is from RNAcentral. Lineage: Bacteria; Pseudomonadati; Thermodesulfobacteriota; Desulfobulbia; Desulfobulbales; Desulfocapsaceae.
GCACAAGCGGUGGAGCAUGUGGUUAAUUCGACGCAACGCGAAGAACCUUACCUGGGCUUGACAUCCCAAGAAUCCCUGGAAACAGGGAGUGCCCUUCGGGGAGCUUGGAGACAGGUGCUGCAUGGCUGUCGUCAGCUCGUGUCGUGAGAUGUUGGGUUAAGUCCCGCAACGAGCGCAACCCUUGCCUUUAGUUGCCAUCAUUCAGUUGGGCACUCUAGAGGGACUGCCGGUGUCAAACCGGAGGAAGUGGGGAUGACGUCAAGUCCUCAUGGCCUUUAUGCCCAGGGCUACACACGUACUACAAUGGCAGGUACAAAGGGCAGCCACUUAGCGAUAAGGCGCGAAUCCCGUAAAACCUGUCUCAGUCCGGAUUGGAGUCUGCAACUCGACUCCAUGAAGUUGGAAUCGCUAGUAAUCGCAGAUCAGCACGCUGCGGUGAAUACGUUCCCGGGCCUU